AAAUGUCCACAUGCAGCCAGGGUGCUGACUGAGGUGACCAGUUUGCUUGAGUUUUCAUACUCUGCACUCUCCAGUGGAACAGCAGCUGCAGGACUCUUAUUUUUGUGAUGUGGAGCAUGUCUGGGUGUGUGGCAGGGGGAACUGAAAUAGUCUCUGCUGACUUUUUGUACCUACAGAUUUUGUUUCAUUGCUCAUUUUGGAAAAGGGAAGCCCUUAUAGGGGCCAAAUUAAUGGUUUUUCUGUAAAUGAUUUUUUUUCCCCCUCAAACUCCAUUGGCUUGACUUCCAGUGGUAUAGAAAGGCAAUAUGGUGAACUUCUCAGCCCGAAAAAGGAGAUCUCCAAUCAGGGCCGAGAGGCUCAUGCUAAGGUGGAAAGAUUUUCCUCCGUGAUGGACUCUUGGAUACCUACGGGAGACUUAAAAGGCCCUCAGACCACAGGAUUAAUGCCACAGCUCCGGAGCAAGCCCCAGCCCCGGCCCGGCCAUACCAGGGCGUCCGUGUGAAGGAGCCAGUGAAGGAACUGCUGAGGAGGAAGCGAGGCCACGCCA
RNAcentral lists this long non-coding RNA (547 nucleotides) under Homo sapiens (human). RNAcentral's name for it is "non-protein coding lnc-BTG4-3:10". Lineage: Eukaryota; Metazoa; Chordata; Mammalia; Primates; Hominidae. The record is from RNAcentral.